GAUGAACGCUGGCGGCGUGCCUAAUACAUGCAAGUAGAACGCUGAAGGGGGAGCUUGCUCUUCUGGAUGAGUUGCGAACGGGUGAGUAGCGCGUAGGUAACCUGCCUGGUAGGGGGGGCUAAGUAUUGGAAACGCUAGCUACUACCGCAUGACAACAGUUAUUGCAUUUUAUCUAAUUAAAAGUGGCAACUGCUCCACUUCCAGCUGAACCUGCGUUGUAUUAUGUAAUUGGUGACGUAAGGGCUCACCACGGCCACGUAACAUAGCAGACCUGAGAGGGGGAUCGGCCACCCUGGGACUGGGAGAUGGCCCAGAAUCCUACGGGAGGCAGCAGUAGGGAAUCUUCGGGAAUGGACGGAAGUCUGAACGAGGAACGCCGCGUGAGUGAAGAACGUUUUCGGAUCGUAAAGCUCUGUUGGCAGUGAAGAACGAGUGUGAGAGUGGAAAGUUCACACUGUGACGGUAUCUUACCAGAAAGGGACGGCUAACUACGUG
This 495-nucleotide ribosomal RNA is filed under the name uncultured bacterium. Its description in RNAcentral is "partial 16S ribosomal RNA". It matches the Rfam family "Bacterial small subunit ribosomal RNA", at positions 28 to 507 of the family's 1533-position model. The record is from RNAcentral.